AUUUUGCGCAGCUUAGGUGGGAGGCUAUGAACCUUUUCUUCUGGGAAGAGGGGAGCCGUCAGUGAGAUACCACUCUUGGUAAGCUAGAGCGCUCAGUCUUAACCGUCAUCCGGUAAGACGACAGUUUCAGGCGGGCAGUUUGACUGGGGCAGUCACCUCCCAAAAGGUAAUGGAGGUGUGCAAAGGUUCCCUCAGGCUGGACGGAAAUCAGCCAUAGAGUGUAAAAGCAAAAGGGAGCUUGACUGCGAGACUGACAUGUCAAGCAGAGACGAAAGUCGGCUUUAGUGAUCCGACGGUGCUGUGUGGAAAGGCCGUCGCUCAACGGAUAAAAGUUACUCUAGGGAUAACA
RNAcentral lists this ribosomal RNA (349 nucleotides) under uncultured eukaryote. RNAcentral's name for it is "LSU rRNA". It matches the Rfam family "Bacterial large subunit ribosomal RNA", at positions 2131 to 2479 of the family's 2925-position model. The record is from RNAcentral.